Molecule: ribosomal RNA, 484 nt
Filed under: uncultured bacterium
Lineage: Bacteria
Description: partial 16S ribosomal RNA
Rfam family: Bacterial small subunit ribosomal RNA
Source: RNAcentral
AUUGAACGCUGGCGGCAGGCCUAACACAUGCAAGUCGAGCGGACGCACGGUAAGUGCUCGUGUUUUCAGCUGGCGACGGGCGGGUGAGUCAUACGUACAUCCCCGUCUACUUUGGCUAGGGUGAGGACGGGGGCGCUCAUACCCUAUACGUCCAUAGGACGAACGGGGGGAAUCAUCGGACCUACCGCCUUUUGCUGAGCCUAGGACGGAUUAGCGAGUUGGUGGGGUAAAGGCCUAACAAGGCGACGAUCCGUAGCUGGUCUGAGAGGAUGAUCAGCCACACUGGAACUGAGACACGGUCCAGACUCCUACGGGAGGCAGCAGUGGGGAAUAUUGGACAAUGGGCGAAAGCCUGAUCCAGCCAUGCCGCGUGUGUGAAGAAGGUCUUCGGAUUGUAAAGCACUUUUAUUGGGGAAGAAGAGCAGUAUGUGAAUACCUUGCUGUUUUGACGGUACCUAAAGAAUAAGCACCGGCUAACUUCGUG